This 804-nucleotide long non-coding RNA is filed under the name Homo sapiens (human). RNAcentral describes it as "non-protein coding lnc-SRP9-1:4". Lineage: Eukaryota; Metazoa; Chordata; Mammalia; Primates; Hominidae. The record is from RNAcentral.
CGAAGCCAUGUCAGAAAUAAUAGAAAAGGCUUUUUCCUUUGAAAUAUCUAAACGUUCAAAGAUGGGAACAGCCGCAGGGGGGAGAAUACUGUGCUAUGCAAGUUGAUCUGAUUUUGUGGACCAUCCAUUUCCAAUUGGGAAGCUCACUUACUUUCAACUUGAAGCAUCAGAAAACCAGACUUACAGCAGCUUCAGCCUAUAGGGGUUUAUUUUUCUCAUGUAACAAGAAGAACAGAAGUGGACAGAGGCCGAGUUCUCAAGGACUCAGUUUCUUUCUGUCCCACCAACCUUACCAUGUUGGAUUGUCAUCUUUGUGCUUGUUGCCUCAUGAUGGCAAGAUGGCUGCAGCACCUCUGGGACUCACGACUGAUUUUUAAGACUACAGAGCCUAAGUCAAAGCUUGUUCUUGGACCCAGGAAAUAUGUCAAAUCCUUCCAGUGAAUGGUGCCUUUCAGGAUUGGAGACUACUCCCCCAGUUGCUGAUGGUGUGGUCAGCCCUCAGUUUUCAGUCCUCUUUGGGAAUUGCCUUGGAUGAAGAAAGUCACCUCACCCAAGAUCACUCCAACUCCUGGGACCCACAUCCAAUGAUUGGCCAAUAUGGGGACUCAAAGGCCUGGUCCCCCUUCCCCAACUUGAGACUACUCUGAAGGAUCACCCAGCUUCAGAGCUUCCCAUGGUUGAGACUUUUAGACUUCACUGUGGUCCAACCAAUCUCUUCCUAUACACGGUCCUGACUCCUUCACUUCCCUCCCAGCACUUCUUCUGUGUUAAUAUCAAACUUCUGUGCUAAUAACAAACUUCUUC